GACGAACGCUGGCGGCGUGCUUAACACAUGCAAGUCGAACGGAAAGGCCCUGCUUGCCGGGUACUCGAGUGGCGAACGGGUGAGUAACACGUGGGUGAUCUGCCCUGCACUUCGGGAUAAGCCUGGGAAACUGGGUCUAAUACCGGAUAGGAGCCAUUUUUAGUGUGAUGGUUGGAAAGUUUUUUCGGUGUAGGAUGAGCUCGCGGCCUAUCAGCUUGUUGGUGGGGUAAUGGCCUACCAAGGCGGCGACGGGUAGCCGGCCUGAGAGGGUGGACGGCCACAUUGGGACUGAGAUUCGGCCCAGACUCCUACGGGAGGCAGCAGUGGGGAAUAUUGCACAAUGGGCGCAAGCCUGAUGCAGCGACGCCGCGUGGGGGAUGACGGCCUUCGGGUUGUAAACUCCUUUCGCUAGGGACGAAGCUUUUUGUGACGGUACCUAGAGAAGAAGCACCGGCUAACUACGUG
Molecule: ribosomal RNA, 465 nt
Filed under: uncultured bacterium
Lineage: Bacteria
Description: partial 16S ribosomal RNA
Rfam family: Bacterial small subunit ribosomal RNA
Source: RNAcentral